Molecule: transfer RNA, 91 nt
Filed under: Caldilineales bacterium
Lineage: Bacteria; Bacillati; Chloroflexota; Caldilineae; Caldilineales
Description: tRNA-Ser
Rfam family: tRNA
About the family: Transfer RNA (tRNA) molecules are approximately 80 nucleotides in length. Their secondary structure includes four short double-helical elements and three loops (D, anti-codon, and T loops).
Source: RNAcentral
GGAGAGGUCGCAUAGUUUGGCCGAGUGCGCGCGUCUCGAAAACGCGUAGGGUUUACCGCCCUCGAGGGUUCGAAUCCCUCCCUCUCCGCCU